Molecule: ribosomal RNA, 589 nt
Filed under: Diversispora aurantia
Lineage: Eukaryota; Fungi; Glomeromycota; Glomeromycetes; Diversisporales; Diversisporaceae
Description: partial large subunit ribosomal RNA
Rfam family: Eukaryotic large subunit ribosomal RNA
Source: RNAcentral
ACCCCUAGUAACGGCGAGUGAAGAGGGAAAAGCUCAAAUUUUAAAUCUACCUGGUUCGUCCCAGGUCGAGUUGUAAUUUGAAGAAGCGAUAUCGGUGUUGAGGUCUGGUUUAAGUUCUUUGGAACAAGACAUCAUGGAGGGUGAGAAUCCCGUGCAUGAUCAGACCAAGAUACUAAGUAUAUGCUUUCUAAGAGUCGAGUUGUUUGAGAAUGCAGCUCAAAAUGGGUGGUAGACUUCACCUAAGGCUAAAUAUCAGCGAGAGACCGAUAGCGAACAAGUACUGUGAAGGAAAGAUGAAAAGAACUUUGAAAAGAGAGUUAAAUAGUACGUGAAAUUGUUGAAAGGGAAACGAUUGAAGUCAGUCAUGCCAGUGAAAAUUCAGUUUGGCGGGUUUCUGGUUCGGAGUAGAGGCAGGGUCAAACCGUCUCUCUUUUGGACUUGGGAUUUGUCAGAUGCAUUUUUUCUCUUGCAGGUCAGCGUCGGUUUCGGGAGUUGUAAAAUACUUGGGGUAAAGUAGCUCUGCUUCGGGAGAGUGUUAUAGACCUUGGGGGAUGCAGCUCGCGGGAUCGAGGAUUGCAGCAAAUGCCUU